RNAcentral lists this unclassified non-coding RNA (789 nucleotides) under Hevea brasiliensis (rubber tree). The record is from RNAcentral. Lineage: Eukaryota; Viridiplantae; Streptophyta; Magnoliopsida; Malpighiales; Euphorbiaceae.
AUUCGGCCGAAGAUAAAAUUUAAUUAAUAAAAGUAUAAGCCCAGACCAUUAAGGCCUAAAAACAAAUCAAGAUCUUAGGCCCAUUAGCCCCAACCCAUACAAACAACGCCCAUACCCCACAAAAUUGAGGUACGCUAGGGCCAAGCACACUAAAGCACAGAGAUCGGCAAAAACAGGUAUGUUGCCGAUCUUCUCUUGCAUCCAAGAUGAAGUGUCAGUAGGAAGAAAAAUCAUAGGCUUUUGCAACUGCUGUUAAAGCAUAAGGAAAAGCCUUUGCUAAAGUACAUAUUGAAAAGCUUCUUCUUCCAAGACAUUGGGACCUUAAAAAGCAUAAGAAAAACACACAAUCUCUGUGAUGGCCUUUGGGAGGUGAUGCAUGGCAGAGCUCUCAACUUUUCACUCUCUUUUUAGCCUUAAAUGUCAACCAACAUCAUGCAAGGCCAGCUCUAGCACCCUAGAUUUACCAUCCAUCAAGCUUCAACAUACAUAGCAACCUUCCCACAAAGCAGAAAUAACACCAAACCUAAGUCUUUUGUUGUUGUAGAGAACGACAGCCAUGGCGCGAGCCCUCAACAAAGAUAUUCUUUCUCUUAGCGACCGUAACCUGUAGCAAAACCCAAGUCAGAACCUAUUUACAUAUCGACUCAGAGGUGGGGAGGGAGAAACCUGUUCUCUGGGAUAGAGGAUGGCUUUCCCCUGCCCAGAAAAGGCAAAGGAAAGCCUCAGAAGGAAAAGAUUCGGUGUAGAUUAUGUUUCAAGAUAUACUAAAAUUUAGUAGGAUUAUCGUUU